AGCGGAAUUAUUAGCGUGGAAUAACAAACCAAGAUGGUUUUUAAUUCGAACGUGUUCCUUUUAAUUUCGUCUCAAUUUCACUUACUACACAAAUAAUAAAUAUAAAUAAAAGAGUAAGGUUGAGAGAAAUUUGCACAGAUGAUUUUUAUACUGGUUCGGAUCUUAUCAAUCCUACGUCUAGUCGCUUAUCUUAAACCGAGAUAAACAGUCCACUAUCACAAAAUAAUUACAAAUAAUAAUCACAAAGAAAAAUAAUUUGUAAAAGUUUAGAAACCACCUCUCUUGAUACCACAAGAGAUGAACCUGCACCUCCUUUGAAUCUUCACAAAGGAUGAGACACCUCCUCCGAAUACUUCACGAAGGAUGAAACACCUCCUCCGAAUACUUCACGAAGGAUGAUCCUCUUCCAAACACCUCCUCAGACGCACCAAGGAUGAACCAGCUAUUCCUCCGUCACCGUAGUUGCAAUGUACCAGCACCAUGGACAAGAGUUUCCUUAGUUGAGCAAGUGCACACACUUCUCAAAGAGUUCUGAGUGUUUUAGCGCAAGGGAAGAGUUGUUGUUGAUGGAUAAAGAGAGCCUAUAUAUAGACUCAAGCAAAUACUCUUCCAUUCUUUGAAACUGGC
RNAcentral lists this long non-coding RNA (627 nucleotides) under Vigna radiata. RNAcentral's name for it is "long non-coding RNA (VRAD_LNC006465)". The record is from RNAcentral. Lineage: Eukaryota; Viridiplantae; Streptophyta; Magnoliopsida; Fabales; Fabaceae.